This 341-nucleotide unclassified non-coding RNA is filed under the name soil metagenome. RNAcentral's name for it is "partial contains 5.8S ribosomal RNA, internal transcribed spacer 2, and large subunit ribosomal RNA". The stretch from base 1 to 120 matches the Rfam family "5.8S ribosomal RNA", at positions 35 to 154 of the family's 154-position model. The record is from RNAcentral.
GAUGAAGAACGCAGCGAAAUGCGAUAAGUAAUGUGAAUUGCAGAAUUCAGUGAAUCAUCGAAUCUUUGAACGCACAUUGCGCCCGCCAGUAUUCUGGCGGGCAUGCCUGUUCGAGCGUCAUUUCAACCAUCAAGCCCCCGGGCUUGUGUUGUGGACCUGCGGCUGCCCGCAGGCCCUGAAAACCAGUGGCGGGCUCGCUGUCACACCGAGCGUAGUAGCAUAUCAUCUCGCUCUGGGCGUGCUGCGGGUUCCGGCCGUUAAAGCCUUUUUUUUUUACCCAAGGUUGACCUCGGAUCAGGUAGGAAGACCCGCUGAACUUAAGCAUAUCAAUAAGCGGAGGA